AGAGCAAACAAGGCCCGUGGGCGGGGCUCUGGGGCACCCAGCAGGCCGCAGGGAGGACAGGGGACGUUUUCUCUCCCUGGACAUUCCAUUAGGGAAAGCCUGCCAAAGGCUGUGCCAAAGACUUCAGUCUGCUCCAGUAUUACGGAUGCACCAAUAAAUGGCUCCAUUCAAAGGAGAGACGGCCCAAAGAGAUUUGCUAAUGCUAUUGCCUGCCCAGGCUGCUGCCAACCACAGGCUGCCACCCAGGUCUGCUUCUCCGGGUCAGGCUCACCCAGCUGUUCUGCCCAGUUUCUAAAAUGCUGUCUGCUCCGGGAUACACAAAUACGUGGUGCACACUUCUGGUUUCCUGUCUGUACUAGCCUUCAACAGGAUGAUUUCAGAACUGCAGCUUGGAGGAGCCUGUGCUCACUAUGAUGUGGAGAGUCACCAGCUUGUAGGAGAUGGACGAAAGCAGGAAGGACUCACUUCACCUCUAUACCUUCCUCCUUAGACAAGUCAUCCAAUAUGUCAGGAAGCAGGCCGUGAGGAAGUAAACAACACAGAGGCCAACUCUCAGCCCAUCUUAGUCCAUUUGUGUGUAAGAAUGACUGGCACGUGCUACCAUGACCUAACCUUGACCACAUCACACUAAGCAAAGAAGCCAUCCCCAAGACAGCAUCGUCUAUGACCUGUGUGAAGCGUGUACCCUGGCAGGAGGCAUUGGAAAUGAAUCCCCCACGCAGCUGUGUUGGGGGUCAGGGCCUUUGAGGGAAUGUUCAGAGAGCAAGGAGCUUGCCUUCAUGCAUGGACGGAUGCUGCUACAAAAGAGCUCUGGAAGUUAGUUCUUUCUUUCUUGUUAUCCUGCCAUGUGAGGUCACAGCGUUUCUCUCAAGAGGAUACAGCUAUGGAGCCUUGAUCUUGGACUUUCCAAUCUUUAGAACUGCGAGGAUUCCUCUUGGAGUAGCACCAAAUAGAGCAAGAACCAAAAUGAUGAAUUUGUGAGGAAAUGUGUAUUAAAGGUCUUUGAUCUAUU
This is a long non-coding RNA of Jaculus jaculus (lesser Egyptian jerboa), 1012 nucleotides long. RefSeq lists it as uncharacterized. The record is from RefSeq and is a predicted model, not a curated record. The transcript is spliced from 4 exons. Lineage: Eukaryota; Metazoa; Chordata; Mammalia; Rodentia; Dipodidae.